Molecule: ribosomal RNA, 459 nt
Filed under: uncultured bacterium
Lineage: Bacteria
Description: partial 16S ribosomal RNA
Rfam family: Bacterial small subunit ribosomal RNA
Source: RNAcentral
CCUACGGGAGGCAGCAGGGAGGAAUAUUGGGCAAUGGACGGGAGACUGAACCAGCCAAGCCGCGUGAGGGAUGAAGGUACAGAGAAUGGUAAACCUCUUUUGUAAGGGAACAAAGGCGGGGACGUGUCCCCGGAUGCGUGUACCUGAAGAAUAAGAAUCGGCUAACUCCGUGCCAGCAGCCGCGGUAAACCGGAGGAGGCGAGCGUUAUCCGGAUGUAUUGGGUUAAAAGGGUGCGCGGGCGGUCUGGUAAGUCAGCGGUCAAAGCCCGGGGCUCAACCCCGGCCCGCCGUUGAGACUGCCAGUCUGGAGUUGGCGAGAGGUAUGCGGAAUGCGCGGUGUAGCGGUGAAAUGCAUAGAUAUCGCGCAGAACUCCGAUUGCGAAGGCAGCAUGCCGGCUCGAAACUGACGCUGAGGCACGAAAGCGUGGGUAUCGAACAGGAUUAGAUACCCUAGUAGUC